GACGAACGCUGGCGGCGUGCUUAACACAUGCAAGUCGAGCGGAAAGGCCCGGCUUUCAGGGUACUCGAGUUGCGGACGGGUGAGUGACACGUGCGUGAUCUACCCUGCUCUUCGAGAUGGACCAGGGAGACUAAGUCUAAUACCUAAUAGGAGCCAUAUUUAGUGUGAUGGUUGGAAAGUUUUUUCGGUUUAGGAUGAGCUCGCUGCCUAUCAGCUUGUUGGUGUGGUAAUGGCCUACCAAGGCGGCGACGGGUAGCCGCACUGAGAGGGUGGACGGCGACACUGGGACCGAGAUGAGGCCAAGACUCCUAAGGGAGGCAGCAGGGGGGAAUCUUGCCCAAUGGGCGCAAGCCUGAUGAAGAGACGCCGCGUGGCGGAUGACGGUCUUAGGGUUGUAAAAUAAUUUCGCUAGGGACGAAGCUCUUUGUGACGGUACCUAGAUAAGAAGCCACGGCUAACUACGUG
Molecule: ribosomal RNA, 465 nt
Filed under: uncultured bacterium
Lineage: Bacteria
Description: partial 16S ribosomal RNA
Rfam family: Bacterial small subunit ribosomal RNA
Source: RNAcentral